GUGCUCGCUUCAGCAGCAUGUAUACAAAAUUGGAAUGACACAGUGAAGAUUAGCAUGCUCCCUGUGCAAGGAUGACAUGCAAAUUCAUGAAGUGUUUCAUAUUUUA
Small nuclear RNA from Cercocebus atys (sooty mangabey), 106 nucleotides. The record is from Ensembl. Lineage: Eukaryota; Metazoa; Chordata; Mammalia; Primates; Cercopithecidae.